Long non-coding RNA from Contarinia nasturtii (swede midge), 266 nucleotides. RefSeq lists it as uncharacterized. The record is from RefSeq and is a predicted model, not a curated record. The transcript has 2 exons. Lineage: Eukaryota; Metazoa; Arthropoda; Insecta; Diptera; Cecidomyiidae.
AUAAGUACCAUUUUAAAAAAAAUUAUGGAGCAACCUACGUAUUGGUGUCUAUCAUUUUAGGUCCAAAUUUUGAAUUUUCCACUGAAACACAUGAAGAAUUGUUGUAUAACAAAGAAAAACUCCUGUGCAAUGGAGAUAAAUGGGAAUCCGAAAUUGCUGCAAAUAUCUAUGCUGAUCACUUGUACCGCUAAAUAGUGAUAAAAACGUCUCGUAUCCAGAGCCAAUAAAAUUCAAUAAAUAUUAGAAUGUUUUGAAUAUUUCUUCAA